AUUGAACGCUGGCGGCAGGCUUAACACAUGCAAGUCGAGCGGGGAAGAGUAGCUUGCUACUUUACCUAGCGGCGGACGGGUGAGUAAUGCUUAGGAAUCUGCCUAUUAGUGGGGGACAACAUCUCGAAAGGGAUGCUAAUACCGCAUACGUCCUACGGGAGAAAGCAGGGGACCUUCGGGCCUUGCGCUAAUAGAUGAGCCUAAGUCGGAUUAGCUAGUUGGUGGGGUAAAGGCCUACCAAGGCGACGAUCUGUAGCGGGUCUGAGAGGAUGAUCCGCCACACUGGGACUGAGACACGGCCCAGACUCCUACGGGAGGCAGCAGUGGGGAAUAUUGGACAAUGGGGGGAACCCUGAUCCAGCCAUGCCGCGUGUGUGAAGAAGGCCUUUUGGUUGUAAAGCACUUUAAGCGAGGAGGAGGCUACCGAGAUUAAUACUCUUGGAUAGUGGACGUUACUCGCAGAAUAAGCACCGGCUAACUCUGUGCCAGCCGCCGCCGUAA
This 501-nucleotide ribosomal RNA is filed under the name uncultured bacterium. RNAcentral's name for it is "partial 16S ribosomal RNA". It matches the Rfam family "Bacterial small subunit ribosomal RNA", at positions 30 to 523 of the family's 1533-position model. The record is from RNAcentral.